GACGAACGCUGGCGGCGUGCUUAACACAUGCAAGUCGAACGAGAAUCUGUGGAUCGAGGAUUCGUCCAAGUGAAGCAGAGGACAGUGGCGGACGGGUGAGUAACGCGUGAGGAACCUGCCUUUCAGAGGGGGACAACAGUUGGAAACGACUGCUAAUACCGCAUGAUACAUUUGGGUUGGCGAUCAUCUGAAUGUCAAGAUUUAUCGCUGAAAGAAUGGCCUCGCGUCUGAUUAGCUGGUUGGUGAGGUAACGGCCCACCCAAAGGCGGACGAUCAGUAGCCGGACUGAGAGGUUGACCGGCCACAUUGGGACUGAGAUACGGCCCAGACUCCUACGGGAGGCAGCAGUGGGGAA
RNAcentral lists this ribosomal RNA (355 nucleotides) under uncultured bacterium. Its description in RNAcentral is "bacterial SSU rRNA". It matches the Rfam family "Bacterial small subunit ribosomal RNA", at positions 28 to 361 of the family's 1533-position model. The record is from RNAcentral.